Molecule: ribosomal RNA, 253 nt
Filed under: uncultured bacterium
Lineage: Bacteria
Description: partial 16S ribosomal RNA
Rfam family: Bacterial small subunit ribosomal RNA
Source: RNAcentral
UACGUGAGGGGCGAGCGUUGUUCGGAAUUACUGGGCGUAAAGGGCAUGUAGGCGGCCUUUUAAGUGGAGUGUUAAAAACCGUGGCUCAACUACGGAGAUGCGCUCCAAACUGGGAGGCUUGAAUCUGGUAGAAGAUAGUAGAAUGACCUGUGUAGCGGUGGAAUGCGUAGAUAUGGGUUAGAAUACCAAAGGCGAAGGCAGCUAUCUAUACCAAGAUUGACGCUGAGGUGCGAAAGCACGGGUAGCAAACAGG